This 126-nucleotide microRNA precursor is filed under the name Vitis vinifera (wine grape). RNAcentral describes it as "MIR845_2 microRNA precursor family". It matches the Rfam family "MIR845_2 microRNA precursor family". The record is from Rfam by way of RNAcentral. Lineage: Eukaryota; Viridiplantae; Streptophyta; Magnoliopsida; Vitales; Vitaceae.
GGAACGCAUAUUAAUUAUCCCCGAUGGGAUAAACAAAAACCCUGAAAAAACAAGUUAGCACACCUUAGAAUGGUUCUAGCACGAUUAAUAACAUAUGGCUCUGAUGCCAGUUGAUGAGAAAAACUC